UACGGGGGGGGCAAGCGUUGUUCGGAAUUACUGGGCGUAAAGGGCUCGUAGGCGGCCAACUAAGUCGGACGUGAAAUCCCUCGGCUUAACCGGGGAACUGCGUCCGAUACUGGAUGGCUUGAGUUUGGGAGAGGGAUGCGGAAUUCCAGGUGUAGCGGUGAAAUGCGUAGAUAUCUGGAGGAACACCGGUGGCGAAGGCGGCAUCCUGGACCGAGAUUGACGCUGAGGCGCGAAAGCCAGGGGAGCAAACGGG
Molecule: ribosomal RNA, 253 nt
Filed under: uncultured bacterium
Lineage: Bacteria
Description: partial 16S ribosomal RNA
Rfam family: Bacterial small subunit ribosomal RNA
Source: RNAcentral